Molecule: long non-coding RNA, 403 nt
Filed under: Lathyrus oleraceus (garden pea)
Lineage: Eukaryota; Viridiplantae; Streptophyta; Magnoliopsida; Fabales; Fabaceae
Description: Pisum sativum (pea) long non-coding RNA (PSAT_LNC035589)
Source: RNAcentral
UCAUAUGUUUGGCUUGCAGUGUGUUCCAUAUGUUCUCUAUCAUAUGGAGUGUUGGAUCUGCCACGUCAAUUAAUGAGGCGUGAUCCAAUCCUCCGUGUUUUUUUUAAUUCUUUUUCUUUUAUUAUUUUUAAUUUCUUUUUCUUUUAAAAUUCAUAGUAAUUUCUUUUUUUAUCCAAAAAAUCCCGAAAUAAUUUCUAAAAUUCUCUUUUAUUUUUCUUCAUCUGAUUUUUUUUCAUAUUUUAUUUCAUUGAUUUUCUAUUUUUCAUGAGUUUCUCUUUUUUCCUUUGUUUUAAUUGGUUAAAAAAUAUUUUUUUGCAUUUUUAAAUUCUGAAAAAAUUAUUACAUGCCUCUUAUUUUAUUUCCAGCAUUCCAUAAUUCUCUUGGCCAUUUAUUUGGUGUUUUG